Molecule: ribosomal RNA, 250 nt
Filed under: uncultured bacterium
Lineage: Bacteria
Description: partial 16S ribosomal RNA
Rfam family: Bacterial small subunit ribosomal RNA
Source: RNAcentral
GCUCGAACGCUCGGCGGCAGGCCUAACACAUGCAAGUCGAACGGAAAGCUUACAGAGUGGGUGACGGGUGAGUAACAUGCGGGAAUCCGCCUUGUGGUUCCGGUCAACAUUGGGAUACCGGUGCUAAAACUAGAUAAAUCCUCACGGGGAAAGUUUUAAUGCCAUAAGAUGAGCCCGGAUUCGAUUAGUUAGUUGGGGAGGGAAAGACUCUCCAAGACAAUGAUUAAUAGCUGAUCUGAGAGGAUGAACC